Molecule: transfer RNA, 72 nt
Filed under: Prunus campanulata (Taiwan cherry)
Lineage: Eukaryota; Viridiplantae; Streptophyta; Magnoliopsida; Rosales; Rosaceae
Description: tRNA-Gln
Source: RNAcentral
GAAUUAAGACAGAUCAAACUAAAUAUAUUAAGCAUAACAAACAUUUUGUUCUUGAGGAUAAUUGUAUUUUAU